UACAUAGGGUGCAAGCGUUGUCCGGAAUUAUUGGGUGUAAAGGGUGCGUAGAUGGGAAGGCAAGUUGGUUGUGAAAUCCCUCGGCUUAACUGAGGAACUGCAACCAAAACUACUUUUCUUGAGUGCUGGAGGGGAAAGAGGAAUUCCUAGUGUAGCGGUGAAAUGCGUAGAUAUUAGGAGGAACACCGGUGGCGAAGGCGUCUUUCUGGACAGUAACUGACAUUGAGGCACGAAAGUGUGGGGAG
Molecule: ribosomal RNA, 245 nt
Filed under: uncultured Oscillospiraceae bacterium
Lineage: Bacteria; Bacillati; Bacillota; Clostridia; Eubacteriales; Oscillospiraceae
Description: partial 16S ribosomal RNA
Rfam family: Bacterial small subunit ribosomal RNA
Source: RNAcentral